Poecilia latipinna (sailfin molly) is the source of this 792-nucleotide long non-coding RNA. RefSeq lists it as uncharacterized. Lineage: Eukaryota; Metazoa; Chordata; Actinopteri; Cyprinodontiformes; Poeciliidae. The record is from RefSeq and is a predicted model, not a curated record. The transcript is spliced from 2 exons.
ACACAAUAUAUAUAUAUUUUUUUUUUCUUUUCCAUUGCGUUGCAGACAAAUGUUAACAAACAACUGUGCCUUUCACCACACUACCUCGCAAACGGCCUCUGUGAUAGAGAGGCUUAGCAGAUCGAAGGCGGGAGGGUCCUCGUUUUUUAAAGUGCUUUAUUGCACAGUUCCUCUCGGAGGAAGAGAACAAGGGGCUGCGAGGUGAGCCCAGAGUCCGAACGGCCUCUGAGCUUCAUGGUUGCAAUAAUAAUACUCUGUGUGUGUGCAUGUGUGUGUGUGUGUGUGUGUGUGUGUGUGUGUGUGUGUGUGGCUACUUAUUGCAUAACAGUAAGCUGGCUCAUGAAUUUUUCAGUGAAAGUGUAAAGCACAAAUCUUUAGAUUAAAAUGUUAUAAACUCUUCACAAUAAUUACAAUACAUCUCAUAAUAUCUAAGUUACAUUCUUAUAUCUGAUUCAUAUAGAAUAUGUAGGCGAUAUACAUCUUGUGGCUUACUGCUUAUAGCUAACAUAGUGGACACUAUCAUGUGGGUCUCUGUCUCAGCCCUCUAGGUUUACAGACAUAGAUAAAUACACAGUGCUGGUCAGAUGUUUGCACACACUCCGAAUAAUUUGGGUACAAAUUCUGAUUAAUUGAAGCUAAUCUUCACACAUGGAGGAAUAAUUAUACAGCUUUAAAUUAUUUUAAAAACAGACAUGGGGUUGCAAGUUUGAAUUUAUCACGGAUUUUUUUCUAGCCUACACAGGGUCAAAAAAAAAAAAAGGUUAAAAUUGAAACACACAAACAAACAUAAUU